This 228-nucleotide long non-coding RNA is filed under the name Mytilus galloprovincialis (Mediterranean mussel). The record is from RNAcentral. Lineage: Eukaryota; Metazoa; Mollusca; Bivalvia; Mytilida; Mytilidae.
GGAUGUUGUCUGUUCUAGAGGAUGUGUGGAUAAAAAAGCCAGCAUCAUUAGGAAAUGUGAUAUUGCACCUCUUAAAGAACAUAUUAAAGUAAACAGUACAUGUAUAGCUUAACUAGAGAUCCCAUGCUUUUGUGUCUUCCACUACUAUUGGAGAAUUUUCAAUGUGGGAUAAUAUUUGAUUAAUUGAAUUGCAAAACAUUUUAUUUCCUUUCUGGUUUAUUAAUGGUG